Molecule: long non-coding RNA, 861 nt
Filed under: Bos taurus (domestic cattle)
Lineage: Eukaryota; Metazoa; Chordata; Mammalia; Artiodactyla; Bovidae
Description: long non-coding RNA NONBTAT000669
Source: RNAcentral
AAGCCACUUGGGUCUUUUUCCCCCUCUAUUUUGAGCCCCUUUUCGUUGUCAGUGGUAUCUUCUGGUAUUCACUGCCUUUGUAAACCAAGUAAAUAGAGUAAGUGAAGAUACUAGUUAUCUAAGUUUUUUCCUGUUGUUAAUUGUUCUGGAGUUUCUUUACCAGUGUGCAUAUUUAAGCAUAAUGUCCUCUCUUUUUUAUCAUGUAGCAGCAUCUAAAAGUAACUUUGGAUAAAGUCAUGUUGUGUAUCUGGUCAAAGUAAUGUUUUCUCCUUGUCAUCACAGGUUUAACCUUAUAUAAUACAAAACAUCUGAGCUCAAAAGCCCAAUCCUUCAGGGUCUUUACAAAAGUAAAAAGUAUUUUAAGUGCUUAGAGCCAGACCCCAUUAUAUUUACAGUUCCAAACAGACCCACCAAUCAUACAGCUUGUUUAGAAUUUUAACCAUAAGUAUUUUUACUUCUAGUCAGUGUUAAACCUCAGUAUAAUCUCCAGAUUAUAGAGAACAAUUUGAAAUGAAACUCAGCAAAGGCCACUAUUUGUCACAUAUUGUGCAAGGAAUAAUCCCAAUCAACAUACACAAUGCAACAUUUGUGACUAAUUUUCCCAUGGGAAUAAUUGGACCUUUUUAAUUUAUUUCAAAUUUUAUACUUAGCAUGAAACCUUAUUCAUAUAUUUUACCAAACUAAUUCAAAUUUAUGUUUGAAUUGUUAGAAAAUAUUUGUGUAUAGUUUUGGUUAAUAAUGAAAGAAAAAUAUAAAAUAUAUUAAAUGUCUUUUCUGUGUCAAGAUGCAAAACAAGUCAUGUUGGAAAAUUUUUGUACUCAGUAUUUUGUAUGUACCUUUUUUCUUUUUUUUAAGCUGGAA